This is a long non-coding RNA of Triticum dicoccoides, 2480 nucleotides long. RefSeq lists it as uncharacterized. The record is from RefSeq and is a predicted model, not a curated record. The transcript has 3 exons. NCBI's taxonomy places the organism in Eukaryota, Viridiplantae, Streptophyta, Magnoliopsida, Poales, Poaceae.
UUCAUCUCCCAUGGCGGAGGAGGGCGGCCACUCCCUCCCCGUGCGCGGCCAGCCCACGAGAGACCGACGUGCCUGCCCUUGCUGCCCUUAGCGCUCCCCCCUUCCCACCGGAGCAGCAGCUCUCACGGCUGCCGGAGCCGCAGCCGCCGUGGGUAUCGGAGGGCCGGCACCAGCAGCUUCUGAUGGCCGACAUCGACAGCUUUUGCGGGCGCGGCGGAGGCCGAUGUGGGGCACGACUUGGGGCGGCGGCGACGGAGCUCUCUGGUGCGCCUCCCUACCGACCUGCCAUAUGCAGCAGCGGCGCCGGCCACGAGCAGCAGCGGCGACGGGAGCGAGCAGCGGCGGGGACGGGAGCGAGCAGCAACGAGGACGGAAGAAAGCAGCAGCAGCCGUUCACUGGAGCGAGCAGCAGCCGCGCCGGCCGCGCGUGCGCACGAGCAGCGGUGCCGGCGGCCAGGCGGCCAUGUUGUAGGUGAGGUGCUGCUGGCAAGCUCGAGCUCCACCGGCCAGCGGACAUGAGUCAACGGUCAGAGGAUGAAGAUGGAACAUUAUCCUCUUCUUUUUUAAUGUGAAAAAAUGACCUUAUCCUCUUAGGCUCUUUUACAGUGUAGUCCCUUCUAUUAUGUCUAUUUGCAAUCCGUUAUAUUGUGUCAAGUCAGCCUGUCCAGCGGGUCCCAGCUGUCAUAAACAUGAUUAAAACGAGCGAAACGGAUGACUAGUGUUUUUUGCAAAAAAUUAGCCUCAGAAUUAGUGUUUUUUGGCACAAAACUGUAGAAGUGUGGUUUCUGCAACACUAGCCUUCAAUGUCGAUGUUUUUUGCAAUUCACUCCUGCCAUGGUGAUGAUGUCGAACAAAACAACCUUCAUCGACAGGUACAAAUAAUUUAGGUUCUGUUUUGCCUUGUGUUAUCUUGUCUCUAUUUUUUUAUUCAUGUACCUUUGUAUAGUUGUAUCCCCUUUUAAACAGUAGAGAUUUAUUGGCCAAGAGAAACUCUUGUUACAUUUGAGGCUAAUAUCUUGCUAAUUUCAGUUAUGUUAUUCUGAAACCAAGACCUUGGAAAAUACCGGUUAGUGAUCCUAACAAGUAUUUGUGUGCAGUAUAUUAAGAUUGUUAUGUCUUGCUUUAAAUCUUCCUGUAUAUAAGAAAAUUUAAAGUAGCACCGGAAUUUCUUAAACAAACCAGCCAACAAAUAUAUCAGCAUAUUCACGGUUACGACAACUCACAAAUAGAAUUUUUUUUGCUGGCAAUAUCUACCUAAUACGACUGAAGGUAAAUGUUCUUGAUCUGUGCCGCUUGGAUAAGAGAUUUGAUGAUGCUAAUUGAGAACUUUACCUGGCCAAUAAUCCGUGACAUUGUGAUGGUUGCAUAGAUUAGAAAAUGAAUGGACACUGUAAUUUUUUGCCAUCUUAAUGUUAAAUAAUUACCCUGUACCUUAGUACCUAUAGAUAAUAUUUUUGUAUAGCAAAGGUGAUGGCUAGAUCAUAAAAUUGGCGGAUUUGCAUGCCUGAUUUGAAAGUACAAUUCGUACUCGUAGUGAGAUUUGUUAUCGCUCGAUAUAUCAGAUGCUUACAUUCUUGGGUGUUCAUUGUAUAUCUUAUUACGAUGAAGACAUACUUCCCAUUGUGUUAUCCUGCUAAUGAAUGUAUUCAAUUUGUAGUGUAGUGGCUAAUUUCAUGAACUAAAUAGGUGUUAUAGAAUUUUUUUCUUUUCAUUUUAAUUGUGUAUAUCAGUAUAUGUAGUUCUGCACAACACGCCUUCUUGCUGAAUUAUAUCAACAGAAGCCAGUAUGCUAAAAUUAACAAAGCUCUUAUGCGACAUUUACUUAUGUAUGUGGAUCAAUCUAAACAAGUUUUUUUGGUUAGUUUGUCUAUUUUUUCAGGGAUAAACUGCCUUAACCGAAGCAGCAUAUGUUGGAGAAUGUAGAUUCAACUUUCGUUUCAGUAGCUUUGGAGGUAUCCUAUACGACUAUGAGUGAUAUACUCUCCUGUCUCCUCCCUCCAUUUUACUUGAGUUAACCCCUGUACGCACAUGUCUACGUCUGCCUUCAGGACAAUUGCAGCAAGGAAGUAAGCCAAAGAGAAAAUGUCGGUGGAUUCAAAGGCCUUACCAGGUCCACCCAUGAGAUGCAGAAUCGAGAGGAGACCUAGAAAAACUUCUUCUCAAUUGAGAAAACACUCAUUUCUGGCAUAAUCCGGUAAUCCCACUCAAGGAGAAGCAUCAUCACUUAACCUGUUCAUAUUACCCCCAGAAGAAUUAUCAUACUUGCUGGCUCCUCCUGGCCAGGAAGGAUUCUGAUCAAGGAUUUGUUGGAGGUUUCCCAGAACGCACAUCAUUGAGAGGCAGAACUUCUUUGUUGCCCCCACCAUCUCUGAUCAAGACUUGUUACCACCAUUUAUUUGUGCAAUACCUACAGUUAAUAACACAAUGAAAUAAGCUUUUUUUUGCGGGAACACAAUGAAAUAAGUUAGCUUUACAUUAUA